This 253-nucleotide ribosomal RNA is filed under the name uncultured bacterium. Its description in RNAcentral is "partial 16S ribosomal RNA". It matches the Rfam family "Bacterial small subunit ribosomal RNA", at positions 524 to 776 of the family's 1533-position model. The record is from RNAcentral.
GACGAAGGAUGCAAGCGUUAUCCGGAUUCAUUGGGUUUAAAGGGAGCGUAGGCGGACUUGUAAGUCAGUGGUGAAAUCUGUGGGCUUAACCCACAAACUGCCAUUGAUACUGCAGGUCUAGAGUACAGUUGCCGUUGGCGGAAUAUGACAUGUAGUGGUGAAAUACUUAGAUAUGUCAUAGAACACCGAUUGCGAAGGCGGCUCACUGGCCCGCAACUGACGCUGAGGCGCGAAAGCGUGGGGAGCAAACAGG